Molecule: non-coding RNA, 24 nt
Filed under: Arabidopsis thaliana (thale cress)
Lineage: Eukaryota; Viridiplantae; Streptophyta; Magnoliopsida; Brassicales; Brassicaceae
Source: RNAcentral
UAUUUGGAUCGACAAGGCCAGAUC